GCUAAACGCGAAGAACCUUACCGCCCCUUGACAUCCCUGGAACCCUUUAGAAAUAGACCUUUCCUUCGGGACAGAGGAGACAGGUGGUGCAUGGUUGUCGUCAGCUCGUGUCGUGAGAUGUUGGGUUAAGUCCCGCAACGAGCGCAACCCUUGAUUCUAGUUGCCAGCACUUCGGGUGGGCACUCUAGAGUGACUGCCGGUGACAAACCGGAGGAAGGCGGGGAUGACGUCAAAUCAUCAUGCCCCUUAUGACCUGGGCUACACACGUACUACAAUGGCCGGUACAACGGGCAGCGAAGGAGCGAUCUGGAGCCAAUCCUAUCAAAGCCGGUCUCAGUUCGGAUUGCAGGCUGCAACUCGCCUGCAUGAAGUCGGAAUUGCUAGUAAUCGCGGAUCAGCAUGCCGCGGUGAAUACGUUCCCGGGUCUUGUACACACCG
RNAcentral lists this ribosomal RNA (438 nucleotides) under uncultured bacterium. Its description in RNAcentral is "bacterial SSU rRNA". It matches the Rfam family "Bacterial small subunit ribosomal RNA", at positions 954 to 1392 of the family's 1533-position model. The record is from RNAcentral.